AGUGAACGCUGGCGGUAGGCCUAACACAUGCAAGUCGAACGGCAGCACAGUAAGAGCUUGCUCUUACGGGUGGCGAGUGGCGGACGGGUGAGGAAUACAUCGGAAUCUACUUUUUCGUGGGGGAUAACGUAGGGAAACCUACGCUAAUACCGCAUACGACCUCCGGGUGAAAGCAGGGGAUCUUCGGACCUUGCGCGAUUGAAUGAGCCGAUGUCGGAUUAGCUAGUUGGCGGGUUAAAGGCCCACCAAGGCGACGAUCCGUAGCUGGUCUGAGAGGACGGUCGGCCACACUGGAACUGAGACACGGUCCAGGCUCCUACGGGAGGCAGCAGUGGGGAAUGUUGGGCAAUGGGCGCGAGCCUGAUCCAGCCAUCCCGCGUGGGUGAAGAAGGCCUUCGGGUUGUAAAGCCCUUUUGUUGGGAAAGAAAAGCAGCAGGUUAAUACCCCGCUGUUCUGACGGUACCCAAAGAAUAAGCACCGGCUAACUUCGUG
RNAcentral lists this ribosomal RNA (492 nucleotides) under uncultured bacterium. RNAcentral's name for it is "partial 16S ribosomal RNA". It matches the Rfam family "Bacterial small subunit ribosomal RNA", at positions 29 to 507 of the family's 1533-position model. The record is from RNAcentral.